GGAGGCUGAGUCACAAACCAGGCCACAGCUAGGAGAAGAAUGAAGCCAUUCCUGGGAGGUGUUCUGGUGAUGCUAUGGCUUCAAGUGGACUGGGCUGAUGGCCAAAAGGUGGAACAGAAUCCUCACGUCUCCAGCAUCCUGGAGGGUGAAAAUGCUUCUCUGACCUGUAACUAUACAAACUAUUCUCCAGAGUCCUUCCAAUGGUAUCGACAAGACCCAGGAGGAGGCCUCUUCUUCUUGCUACUAGUACGUGAAAAUGAGGGUGAGAAACAGAAAGGAAGAUUGAGAGUUACCUUUGAUACCACCAUCAAACAGAGUGCCUUGCAUAUCGUAGUCUCCCGACCCGCAGACUCAGCCACCUACCUCUGUGCCCUGACUCACAAUAGCAUCCUGGCAGCUGCUUCCUGUACACAAACUCUUCCAGUCAACAGAGCUGAUGAUUGUGCUGUCCCCAAAGACUUGCCACAAGUCCUGCAAAAUAAAGGGGGGCUCAUUUCAAAGGAGCAAAAUGUGUGGGAAGGGCUCUGGGUUGCCCAGGAGCAGGGGGGGAUCCUUCAUCCAGUCUCAGAACUACUGAUGCCGACUGAAUGA
Molecule: non-coding RNA, 591 nt
Organism: Sciurus carolinensis (gray squirrel)
Lineage: Eukaryota; Metazoa; Chordata; Mammalia; Rodentia; Sciuridae
Source: the annotation of a RefSeq genome assembly